AGCGUGUGCUUUUACUGAACGUUG
RNAcentral lists this non-coding RNA (24 nucleotides) under Arabidopsis thaliana (thale cress). The record is from RNAcentral. Lineage: Eukaryota; Viridiplantae; Streptophyta; Magnoliopsida; Brassicales; Brassicaceae.